CUCCCGUUGAUCCUGCCGGACCCGACUGCUAUCAGAGUGGGACUAAGCCAUGCGAGUCAACAUAGCAAUAUGUGGCAUACGGCUCAGUAACACGUAGUCAACAUGCCCAGGGGACGUGGAUAACCUCGGGAAACUGAGGAUAAACCGCGAUAGGUCAUCACUUCUGGAAUGGGUAAUGACUUAAAUCUAUAUGGCCCCUGGAUUGGACUGCGGCCGAUCAGGCUGUUGGUGAGGUAAUGGCCCACCAAACCUGUAACCGGUACGGGCUCUGAGAGGAGGAGCCCGGAGAUGGGCACUGAGACAAGGGCCCAGGCCCUAUGGGGCGCAGCAGGCGCGAAACCUCUGCAAUAGGCGAAAGCUUGACAGGGUUACUCUGAGUGAUUUCCGUUAAGGAGAUCUUUUGGCACCUCUAAAAAUGGUGCAGAAUAAGGGGUGGGCAAGUCUGGUGUCAGCCGCCGCGGUAAUACCAGCACCCCGAGUGGUCGGGACGUUUAUUGGGCCUAAAGCAUCCGUAGCCGGUUCUACAAGUCUUCCGUUAAAUCCACCUGCUUAACAGAUGGGCUGCGGAAGAUACUAUAGAGCUAGGAGGCGGGAGAGGCAAGCGGUACUCGAUGGGUAGGGGUAAAAUCCGUUGAUCCAUUGAAGACCACCAGUGGCGAAGGCGGCUUGCCAGAACGCGCUCGACGGUGAGGGAUGAAAGCUGGGGGAGCAAACCGGAUUAGAUACCCGGGUAGUCCCAGCUGUAAACGAUGCAGACUCGGUGAUGAGUUGGCUUAUUGCUAACUCAGUGCCGCAGGGAAGCCGUUAAGUUUGCCGCCUGGGGAGUACGGUCGCAAGACUGAAACUUAAAGGAAUUGGCGGGGGAGCA
This 868-nucleotide ribosomal RNA is filed under the name uncultured archaeon. Its description in RNAcentral is "bacterial SSU rRNA". It matches the Rfam family "Archaeal small subunit ribosomal RNA", at positions 1 to 878 of the family's 1478-position model. The record is from RNAcentral.